AAGACACUCUUUCUUACUUGCAUAGUUAAACUAAGGACUCAUUGCUUCUUAACCAUAUGCCGAUCGUCUUGAGGAAGGAAGACUAUGAUAUUCCAGCAUGGUUCUUGUUCACUUCCAAGGGUCCCCUUGCGACUGUGUAAUUAAGAUACAAUAUAAACUUUAACCAAAUUAGGGUUAUUUUGUCCUCUGUUUUCUACCUUGUGAACGGAAGUAACUAGCUUUCUCUCUAUGAUG
Molecule: long non-coding RNA, 234 nt
Organism: Arabidopsis thaliana (thale cress)
Lineage: Eukaryota; Viridiplantae; Streptophyta; Magnoliopsida; Brassicales; Brassicaceae
Product: other RNA
Exons: 1
Source: RefSeq